Molecule: transfer RNA, 64 nt
Filed under: Dianemobius fascipes nigrofasciatus
Lineage: Eukaryota; Metazoa; Arthropoda; Insecta; Orthoptera; Trigonidiidae
Description: tRNA-Phe
Source: RNAcentral
AUUUAAAUAGCUUAUGUAGAGCAUAAUAUUGAAGAUAUUAAGGAGAUUGAAUAGUCUUUAAAUG